RNAcentral lists this ribosomal RNA (451 nucleotides) under uncultured bacterium. RNAcentral's name for it is "bacterial SSU rRNA". It matches the Rfam family "Bacterial small subunit ribosomal RNA", at positions 8 to 507 of the family's 1533-position model. The record is from RNAcentral.
AGAGUUUGAUCAUGGCUCAGAACGAACGCUGGCGGCAUGCCUAACACAUGCAAGUCGAACGAAGUCUUCGGACUUAGUGGCGCACGGGUGCGUAACGCGUGGGAAUCUGCCCUUGGGUGCGGAAUAACUUCUCGAAAGGGAUGCUAAUACCGCAUAAUGUCGUAAGACCAAAGAUUUAUCGCCCAAGGAUGAGCCCGCGUAAGAUUAGCUAGUUGGUGGGGUAAAAGCCUACCAAGGCGACGAUCUUUAGCUGGUCUGAGAGGAUGAUCAGCCACACUGGGACUGAGACACGGCCCAGACUCCUACGGGAGGCAGCAGUGGGAAUAUUGGACAAUGGGCGAAAGCCUGAUCCAGCAAUGCCGCGUGAGUGUUGAAGGCCCUAGGGUUGUAAAGCUCUUUACCAGGGAUGAUAAUGACAGUACCUGGAGAAUAAGCUCCGGCUAACUCCGUG